AUUGAACGCUGGCUGCAGUCCUACCACAUGCAAGUCGCGCGAGAGGCGGACGGGUGAGUAAUGUAUGGGGACUGCCCGAUAGAGGGGGAUAACUACUGGAAACGGUAGCUAAUCCCGCAUACUAUCGGAUAACCCAUAUGGGAUUAUCUAGUAGGUGAGGUAAUGGCUCACCUAGGCGACGAUCCCUAGCUGGUCUGAGAGGGUGAUCAGCAACACUGGGAAUGAGACACGGCCCAGACUCCUACGGAGGCAGCAGUGGGGAACAUUGCACAAUGGGCGAAAGCCUGAUGCAGCCAUGCCGCGUGUAUGAAGAAGGCUCUAGGGUGGUAAAGUACUUUCAGUCGGGAGGCGUUACCGACAGAAGAAGCACCGGCUAACUCCGUGCCAGCAGCCGCGGUAAUAC
This 403-nucleotide ribosomal RNA is filed under the name uncultured bacterium. Its description in RNAcentral is "partial 16S ribosomal RNA". It matches the Rfam family "Bacterial small subunit ribosomal RNA", at positions 30 to 526 of the family's 1533-position model. The record is from RNAcentral.